RNAcentral lists this long non-coding RNA (469 nucleotides) under Anser brachyrhynchus (Pink-footed goose). Its description in RNAcentral is "lncRNA (ENSABRG00000022344.1)". Lineage: Eukaryota; Metazoa; Chordata; Aves; Anseriformes; Anatidae. The record is from RNAcentral.
GGGGGAGGGUGUGGGCUGAAAUCCCUCUGCCCUAAGCCUGAGCUUCAGGGGAGCUCGUUUGGUUCUACUUGAAUCUCAUUCCUGGUCCAGUGGACUGAGGCAUGCUGGCUUUUUUGGAAAAGCCACAUGCAUCAGCUGCGGUCACUUCUAGUCACAUUGAGGACCAUGGCAACAGCAGGCUUGCAGCAAGCUUCAGCAUUGCUCUCUGAGGGAAGCUGCCUGCCAUGAGAUGUCUGGGGAUUUAUCUGGCUGCGGCUCAGCUCACUCACAUGCUUGGUCUCCUCUCCUACAUCUGCUUCCUUUCCCACCUCAUGCUUGGCACCUUCUGCUUCUGGCUGGUGAGCACAGAGGCUCUGUGAGAGCCAAUUUGCAGUUCUCCAGGUUCAGGAGGAAGCCAGUCGCAAAUACUAGGAGGAACCAAGGCAGCUCUGCUUUCUCCACCAUCAACAGCAGUGCAGUCUUUUGCUGA